Molecule: ribosomal RNA, 253 nt
Filed under: uncultured bacterium
Lineage: Bacteria
Description: partial 16S ribosomal RNA
Rfam family: Bacterial small subunit ribosomal RNA
Source: RNAcentral
UACGUAGGUGGCAAGCGUUGUCCGGAUUUACUGGGCGUAAAGGAUGCGUAGGCGGACAUUUAAGUCAGAUGUGAAGUACCCGAGCUUAACUUGGGUGCUGCAUUUGAAACUGGGUGUCUAGAGUGCAGGAGAGGUAAGUGGAAUUCCUAGUGUAGCGGUGAAAUGCGUAGAGAUUAGGAAGAACACCAGUGGCGAAGGCGACUUACUGGACUGUAACUGACGCUGAGGCAUGAAAGCGUGGGGAGCAAACAGG